This 72-nucleotide transfer RNA is filed under the name Patescibacteria group bacterium. RNAcentral's name for it is "tRNA-Trp". It matches the Rfam family "tRNA". Rfam says of the family: Transfer RNA (tRNA) molecules are approximately 80 nucleotides in length. Their secondary structure includes four short double-helical elements and three loops (D, anti-codon, and T loops). The record is from RNAcentral.
AAGGCUAUAGCUCAGUGGUAGAGCGGAGGUCUCCAAAGCCUCGCGUCGGGAGUUCAAUUCUCUCUAGCCUUG